GACGAACGCUGGCGGCGUGCUUAACACAUGCAAGUCACGGGGGCCCAGCAAUGGGUAACCGGCGAACGGGUGCGUAACACGUGAGCAACCUGCCGAUCUGAGGGGGAUAGCCGGCCCAACGGCCGGGUAAUACCGCAUACGGUUCUUGAGGGACAUCCCUUGGGAACGAAACCUCCGGGGCAGAUCGAGGGGCUCGCGGCCUAUCAGCUAGUUGGCGGGGUAACGGCCCACCAAGGCGACGACGGGUAGCUGGCUGAGAGGAUGGCCAGCCACAUUGGGACUGAGAGACGGCCCAGACUCUACGGGAGGCAGCAGUGGGGAAUCUUGCGCAAUGGCCGAAAGGCUGACGCAGCGACGCCGCGUGUGGGAUGAAGCAUUUCGGUGUGUAAACCACUGUUGCCCGGGACGAACACCUUCUUUCGAGAAGGCUGACGGUACCGGGUGAGGAAGCACCGGCUAACUCCGUGCCAGCAGCCGCGGU
This 481-nucleotide ribosomal RNA is filed under the name uncultured bacterium. RNAcentral describes it as "bacterial SSU rRNA". It matches the Rfam family "Bacterial small subunit ribosomal RNA", at positions 28 to 521 of the family's 1533-position model. The record is from RNAcentral.